UACGUAGGGUGCAAGCGUUAAUCGGAAUUACUGGGCGUAAAGCGUGCGCAGGCGGCUUUGCAAGACAGAUGUGAAAUCCCCGGGCUCAACCUGGGAACUGCAUUUGUGACUGUAGAGCUGGAGUACGGCAGAGGGGGAUGGAAUUCCGCGUGUAGCAGUGAAAUGCGUAGAUAUCGUCAGGAAUGCCGGUGGUGAAGACGGGUGACUGGGCUGGUUCUGACACUGAGGCACGAAAGCGUGGGGAGCGAACGGG
This 253-nucleotide ribosomal RNA is filed under the name uncultured bacterium. RNAcentral's name for it is "partial 16S ribosomal RNA". It matches the Rfam family "Bacterial small subunit ribosomal RNA", at positions 524 to 776 of the family's 1533-position model. The record is from RNAcentral.